UUGGCCCGUUGGUCAAGUGGUUAAGACACCGCCCUUUCACGGCGGUAACACGGGUUCGAAUCCCGUACGGGU
Molecule: transfer RNA, 72 nt
Filed under: Bacillus thuringiensis Bt407
Lineage: Bacteria; Bacillati; Bacillota; Bacilli; Caryophanales; Bacillaceae
Description: tRNA-Glu
Rfam family: tRNA
About the family: Transfer RNA (tRNA) molecules are approximately 80 nucleotides in length. Their secondary structure includes four short double-helical elements and three loops (D, anti-codon, and T loops). Further hydrogen bonds mediate the characteristic L-shaped molecular structure. tRNAs have two regions of fundamental functional importance: the anti-codon, which is responsible for specific mRNA codon recognition, and the 3' end, to which the tRNAs corresponding amino acid is attached (by aminoacyl-tRNA synthetases). tRNAs cope with the degeneracy of the genetic code in two manners: having more than one tRNA (with a specific anti-codon) for a particular amino acid; and 'wobble' base-pairing, i.e. permitting non-standard base-pairing at the 3rd anti-codon position.
Source: RNAcentral